This 305-nucleotide ribosomal RNA is filed under the name uncultured Anaerolineaceae bacterium. RNAcentral's name for it is "bacterial SSU rRNA". It matches the Rfam family "Bacterial small subunit ribosomal RNA", at positions 1064 to 1382 of the family's 1533-position model. The record is from RNAcentral. Lineage: Bacteria; Bacillati; Chloroflexota; Anaerolineae; Anaerolineales; Anaerolineaceae.
GUCGUGAGAUGUUCGGUUAAGUCCGCUAACGAGCGCAACCCUCGCCGUAUGUUACAAGUGUCAUACGGGACUGCCGGUAAAAAGCCGGAGGAAGGUGAGGAUGAUGUCAAGUCAGCAUGACCUUUAUAUCCAGGGCUACACACACGCUACAAUGGUCUGUACAAUUGGUUGCCAAGCCGCGAGGCGGAGCCAAUCCGUAAAGCAGGCCUCAGUUCAGAUUGCAGUCUGCAACUCGACUGCAUGAAGCCGGAGUUGCUAGUAACCGCAGGUCAGCAAUACUGCGGUGAAUACGUUCCCGGGUCCUU